Lupinus angustifolius (narrow-leaved blue lupine) is the source of this 81-nucleotide small nucleolar RNA. It matches the Rfam family "small nucleolar RNA snoR128". NCBI's taxonomy places the organism in Eukaryota, Viridiplantae, Streptophyta, Magnoliopsida, Fabales, Fabaceae. The record is from Rfam.
AUGCUAUGAUGAUAUAUCAGUUUAUUGAUUGCAUAAUGAUAUUUCGGCAGUUAUGUUGAACCUGAGCGGUUAACUGAGCAA